AUGGCGUCGAGGGUUUCUCUGAAGGCGAAAGGCAAAAGCUCAAAGGGAACGAAAGGAUCGGAAGAUCGAUCGCUGCUUGAUUCCGCGAAGGAAUGGACAACAUGGGGAUUGAAGAAGACGAAGGUUAUCGCUCAUUACGGUUUCAUUCCUUUCAUUAUCAUUGUUGGUAUGAAUACUGAUCCCAAACCCCAGAUUUCUCAGCUUCUCAGCCCUGUGUAA
Molecule: non-coding RNA, 219 nt
Organism: Vicia faba (fava bean)
Lineage: Eukaryota; Viridiplantae; Streptophyta; Magnoliopsida; Fabales; Fabaceae
Source: the annotation of a GenBank genome assembly